RNAcentral lists this ribosomal RNA (429 nucleotides) under Calapnita dinagat. Its description in RNAcentral is "partial 16S ribosomal RNA". It matches the Rfam family "Archaeal large subunit ribosomal RNA", at positions 1926 to 2668 of the family's 2987-position model. Lineage: Eukaryota; Metazoa; Arthropoda; Arachnida; Araneae; Pholcidae. The record is from RNAcentral.
UUCUUUAAGUGCUCAUUUAAAGUAAAGCCUGCUCAAUGAUAAUUCAAAUAGCCGCAGUAUCACUCUGUGCUAAGGUAGCACAAUAAUUUGCUUCUUAAUUAGAAGAUAGAAUGAAUGGCCGUACACCUAAGCUUUGUGUCUAAUAAUUAUAAUUAAAUUAAAAAAAAGGUAAAAAUACCUUUAAAACUAAGCGGGACGACAAGACCCCGACAAACUUUAUAUUUAGUUGGGGAAACAAUAUAAAAACACUUUACUAAUAUCACCACACAACUUCAAAAUAAAAACAAGAACAGUUACUACGGGGAUAACAGCGCAAUGUCUUUCAAGAGAUCCUAUCCAAAAAGAUGAUUACGACCUCGAUGUUGAAUUAAUUAACCUAAACAGCGCAACAGCUUUAUUAAAGGUAGUCCGUUCGACUAUUAAAUAAUU